RNAcentral lists this ribosomal RNA (665 nucleotides) under uncultured Halorubrum sp. Its description in RNAcentral is "bacterial SSU rRNA". It matches the Rfam family "Archaeal small subunit ribosomal RNA", at positions 691 to 1353 of the family's 1478-position model. Lineage: Archaea; Methanobacteriati; Methanobacteriota; Halobacteria; Halobacteriales; Haloferacaceae. The record is from RNAcentral.
CCGACGGUGAGGGGCGAAAGCUAGGGUCUCGAACCGGAUUAGAUACCCGGGUAGUCCUAGCCGUAAACAAUGCCUGCUAGGUGUGGCUCCCACUACGAGUGGGUGCUGUGCCGUAGGGAAGCCGCUAAGCAGGCCGCCUGGGAAGUACGUCCGCAAGGAUGAAACUUAAAGGAAUUGGCGGGGGAGCACUACAACCGGAGGAGCCUGCGGUUUAAUUGGACUCAACGCCGGACAUCUCACCAGCAUCGACUGUGGUAAUGACGGUCAGGUUGAUGACCUCGCCACGAGCCACAGAGAGGAGGUGCAUGGCCGCCGUCAGCUCGUACCGUGAGGCGUCCUGUUAAGUCAGGCAACGAGCGAGACCCGCAUCCGUACUUGCCAGCAACACUGCGAAGUGGUUGGGGACAGUACGGAGACUGCCGUGGCCAACACGGAGGAAGGAACGGGCAACGGUAGGUCAGUAUGCCCCGAAUGUGCUGGGCAACACGCGGGCUACAAUGGUCAGGACAAAGGGUUCCUACUCCGAAAGGAGACGGUAAUCUCAGAAACCUGAUCGUAGUUCGGAUUGUGGGCUGCAACUCGCCCACAUGAAGCUGGAUUCGGUAGUAAUCGCGUGUCACAAGCGCGCGGUGAAUACGUCCCUGCUCCUUGCACUCACCGCCCGU